This 685-nucleotide ribosomal RNA is filed under the name uncultured delta proteobacterium. RNAcentral describes it as "bacterial SSU rRNA". It matches the Rfam family "Bacterial small subunit ribosomal RNA", at positions 9 to 668 of the family's 1533-position model. Lineage: Bacteria; Deltaproteobacteria. The record is from RNAcentral.
GAGUUUGAUCCUGGCUCAGAACGAACGCUAGCGGCGUGCUUAACACAUGCAAGUCGUACGAGAAAUCCCGGGCAACUGGGAGAGUAAAGUGGCGCACGGGUGAGUAACACGUGGGUAAUCUACCUUGGAGUUUGGAAUAACACCUCGAAAGGGGUGCUAAUACCGAAUAUGGUCCCUGGAGUUUCGGCCCUAGGGAUGAAAGAUGGCUGAGGCUUGCAAGCUAUUGCUCCAAGAUGAGCCCGCGUACCAUUAGCUAGCUGGUGGGGUAAUGGCCCACCAAGGCUAUGAUGGUUAGCUGGUCUGAGAGGAUGGCCAGCCACACUGGAACUGAGAUACGGUCCAGACUCCUACGGGAGGCAGCAGUGAGGAAUCUUGCGCAAUGGGGGCAACCCUGACGCAGCAACGCCGCGUGAGUGAUGAAGGCCUUCGGGUCGUAAAGCUCUGUCAGGCGGGAAGAAAGUUUUCAGGGUGAACAAUCCUGGAGAUUGACGGUACCGUCAAAGGAAGCACCGGCUAACUCCGUGCCAGCAGCCGCGGUAAUACGGAGGGUGCGAGCGUUGUUCGGAAUUAUUGGGCGUAAAGAGCGUGUAGGCGGCCUCGUAAGUCAGAUGUGAAAGCCCUUGGCUUAACCAAGGAAGGGCAUUUGAAACUGCUUGGCUUGAGUACGGGAGGGGGAAGCGGAAUU